UGGGGCUGAAGAAUGGACUUGCAAGAUGGCCUCACUAACAUGGCUGGCAAGCUGGUGUUGACUGUUGGCUUGAAGCUCAGCUGGGGCUGUUAACCAGUGGCCUCACUUCCUUUCUGCUUGGCCUCUCCACAUGGCUAGAUUGGACUUCUCACAGGGAGGCAGUCUCUGGAUAUUCAAACUUCUUACAUGGUGGCUGGCUUCUUCUAAAAUACAAAAAUGAAAGCUGCCAGGCCUUUGUAAGGCUUAGAAUUGAACUGGCACCCUGUCACUUCCUCCAUGAUCUAUUGGUUAAAGAAGGUCACAGAACCAGCCCAGAUUCAAGGAGCGGGGAACAAUCCAAGGACAUGAAUAUUGCUUUAAAAAAAAUCCAUUUUCAGAAAAGUGACUUAUAUAAACAGUCCCCACCUCGGAGAAUUCCAGGAUAUGCUUUAUCCACUGGGCACUAAAACCAAGAAAACUGAUCUGGGUCAUUUCAGGCUUCCAUCCUUUGUUAUUUCAAGUCAAUAAAAAUAGUUGGGAGGAAGGUGACUCAGGAUCUGGCUUGCUCUGUC
RNAcentral lists this long non-coding RNA (551 nucleotides) under Homo sapiens (human). RNAcentral's name for it is "HSALNT0399902". Lineage: Eukaryota; Metazoa; Chordata; Mammalia; Primates; Hominidae. The record is from RNAcentral.